AAGUAAUGAAGUAAAAAUUUUACAUUUAGUUUCGACCUAAAAUUAAGAGAGUAAUCUCCUUACUUA
Molecule: transfer RNA, 66 nt
Filed under: Ilyocoris cimicoides
Lineage: Eukaryota; Metazoa; Arthropoda; Insecta; Hemiptera; Naucoridae
Description: tRNA-Arg
Source: RNAcentral